Molecule: ribosomal RNA, 468 nt
Filed under: uncultured bacterium
Lineage: Bacteria
Description: partial 16S ribosomal RNA
Rfam family: Bacterial small subunit ribosomal RNA
Source: RNAcentral
GACGAACGCUGGCGGCGUGCUUAACACAUGCAAGUCGAACGGAAAGGCCCUGCUGUUGUGGGGUGCUCGAGUGGCGAACGGGUGUGUAACACGUGAGUUCCCUGCUCUUGAUUUUGGGAUACCUUCAGGAAACUGGCGCUAAUCCCGGAUAGGAGCUCCUGCUGCAUGGUGGGGGUUGGAAAGUUUCGGCGGUUGGGGAUGGACUCGCGGCUUAUCAGCUUGUUGGUGGGGUAGUGGCUUACAAAGGCGUUGAUGGGUGGCCGGCUGGGGGGGGGGACCGGCCACAUUGGGACUAGGAUACGGCCCGAACUCCUACGGGAGGCAGCAGUGGGGAAUAUUGAACAAUGGGCGGAAGCCUGAGGAAGGAACGCCGCGUGCGGGAGGACGGCCUUCGGGUUGUAAACCGCUUUCGCCUGUGACGAAGCGUGAGUGACGGUAAUUGGUUAAGAAGCACCGGCUAACUACGUG